UGUAAACCAAAGAGAAUUCCUUACAACAACUUUGUAUGAGCUCACUUCCCAUCCCUCUUUUUUGCCUUUAAAAACUUGCUUGUAACAAAGGCUGGGCGGAGCUCACAUUCAACGUUUCUUGGGUCUAAAUCUUCCGGGCAGCUGUCUACACUUUGGCUCAGAGGCUAAUCUUUUAGGCAACCUUGUCUCCAAACCUGGAGAAUAUGAAGAAGCUGGCUCUAAAUAUGAGUAAGAUCCUUGGCCUUCUCCACAGAAGUGAAAGAGAGAGGCAUCCAGACGAGUGACUAUCCUACAAUUGUCUAUCAUAGAAGUGUGCCAUGUAAAAGGGAAAGAUGAAGUUCUGUAGAGGAAACUGAGGCAAGUAAAGUCCAGGAGGGCAGAAACUUGAUGUUUUUUCAUUGUGGAAUUCCCCCCUCCUGGAACAGAUUCAUAGAGCACAUGGGAAACAUCUCUCUAAAAAAUGGAUGAAGCAAGCGGCAUUUGACUUGACUCUGAACAGAUGAGCAGUGCUCCAGGCGGGGCUAGCACGUGCAAAGACACAGCAGGAUCAAGACCUUUGUAUGAACUGUAUGCGAACACUUUGGGCCCAAUGUGGUGGCUCAUGCCUGUAACUCAGCGACUUGGGAGGCUGAGGCAGGACGAUCGCUUGAGGCCAGGAGUUCAAGACAGACCUGCCUGGGCAACAUAGUGAGACCUGCACCCUUCCAUCUCUAAAAAAAAAAAAAAAUUAAUUCCGCUCCUAAAAAACAUUUUGGGAUGUUUAAUGUGGUUCCCCCAUCCCUUUCACCCCUUUACACAAACAUAUGCUGGGAGAAAAAAACUGUGUUUAAAAUGCCAUCUCUGGUGGUAGUAUGGACUAGAGAAAUGAGUCCU
RNAcentral lists this long non-coding RNA (873 nucleotides) under Homo sapiens (human). Its description in RNAcentral is "HSALNT0247129". The record is from RNAcentral. Lineage: Eukaryota; Metazoa; Chordata; Mammalia; Primates; Hominidae.